UACAGAGGUCCCAAGCGUUGUCCGGAUUUACUGGGCGUAAAGAGCGCGCAGGCGGUCGUUCAAGUCGCGUGUGAAAGCCCCCGGCUCAACUGGGGAGGGUCACGCGAUACUGAUCGACUCGAAGGCAGGAGAGGGUAGUGGAAUUCCCGGUGUAGUGGUGAAAUGCGUAGAUAUCGGGAGGAACACCAGUGGCGAAGGCGACUACCUGGACAAUUGCUGACGCUCAGGCACGAAAGCGUGGGGAGCAAAAGGG
This 253-nucleotide ribosomal RNA is filed under the name uncultured bacterium. RNAcentral describes it as "partial 16S ribosomal RNA". It matches the Rfam family "Bacterial small subunit ribosomal RNA", at positions 524 to 776 of the family's 1533-position model. The record is from RNAcentral.